GUGUUUUUGUUUUAAUUAAAAUUGUUUAUAUUACUUUUGUUAAGAAAGAAAUAAUAAUAUAUAUAAUAUAAAAAUAGGUUUAAAAGAAUUAUUCGAAAAAAAACAUGGAUUACGCGAUAAAAAAUUCUACCCAAAAAGAUUUCUUUUAAAUUGCUUGGAGUGCUGAAGAGUUACGAUUUCAAUAAUAGCAGAUACGUGGAAUAAAAUGUCGGUAAUGCAGGGCAUGUUACCGACAUAACUUCAACUUUUUUGUUUUGGAUUUCCGUAAGAGUGGUGCAUAUUGUAACGAAUAUAUUUUAAGAAAAUGUCAUUUUUGAUUUUGUUAUGAAUUAUUAAAACAACCACUAAUCAACAUAAAUAAAAUUAAUAAAAAGUUGUA
This is a long non-coding RNA of Eupeodes corollae, 379 nucleotides long. RefSeq lists it as uncharacterized. The record is from RefSeq and is a predicted model, not a curated record. The transcript has 2 exons. NCBI's taxonomy places the organism in Eukaryota, Metazoa, Arthropoda, Insecta, Diptera, Syrphidae.